UGGGGAAUAUUGGACAAUGGGCGCAAGCCUGAUCCAGCAAUGCCGCGUGUGUGAAGAAGGCCUGCGGGUUGUAAAGCACUUUCAGUGGGGAGGAAGGCCUUACUGUGAAUAUCAGUAAGGAUUGACGUUACCUACAGAAGAAGCACCGGCUAACUCUGUGCCAGCAGCCGCGGUAAUACAGAGGGUGCGAGCGUUAAUCGGAAUCAUUGGGCGUAAAGGGUGCGUAGGUGGUUAAUUAAGUCAGAUGUGAAAUCCCUAGGCUCAACCUAGGAAUUGCGUUUGAAACUGAUUGGCUAGAGUAUAGUAGAGGGAAGUGGAAUUUCCGGUGUAGCGGUGAAAUGCGUAGAUAUCGGAAGGAACACCAGUGGCGAAGGCGACUUCCUGGACUGUUACUGACACUGAGGCACGAAAGCGUGGGGAGCGAACAGGAUUAGAUACCCCCGUAGUCC
RNAcentral lists this ribosomal RNA (449 nucleotides) under uncultured bacterium. RNAcentral's name for it is "bacterial SSU rRNA". It matches the Rfam family "Bacterial small subunit ribosomal RNA", at positions 355 to 796 of the family's 1533-position model. The record is from RNAcentral.